AGUGAACGCUGGCGGUAGGCCUAACACAUGCAAGUCGAACGGCAGCACAGUAAGAGCUUGCUCUUACGGGUGGCGAGUGGCGGACGGGUGAGGAAUACAUCGGAAUCUACUUUUUCGUGGGGGAUAACGUAGGGAAACUUACGCUAAUACCGCAUACGACCUACGGGUGAAAGCAGGGGAUCUUCGGACCUUGCGCGAUUGAAUGAGCCGAUGUCGGAUUAGCUAGUUGGCGGGGUAAAGGCCCACCAAGGCGACGAUCCGUAGCUGGUCUGAGAGGAUGAUCAGCCGCACUGGAACUGAGACACGGUCCAUACUCCUACGGGAGGCAGCAGUGGGGAAUAUUGGACAAUGGGCGCAAGCCUGAUCCAGCCAUACCGCGUGGGUGAAGAAGGCCUUCGGGUUGUAAAGCCCUUUUGUUGGGAAAGAAAAGCAGCAGGUUAAUACCCCGCUGUUCUGACGGUACCCAAAGAAUAAGCACCGGCUAACUUCGUG
This 492-nucleotide ribosomal RNA is filed under the name uncultured bacterium. Its description in RNAcentral is "partial 16S ribosomal RNA". It matches the Rfam family "Bacterial small subunit ribosomal RNA", at positions 29 to 507 of the family's 1533-position model. The record is from RNAcentral.